Molecule: long non-coding RNA, 451 nt
Organism: Culex quinquefasciatus (southern house mosquito)
Lineage: Eukaryota; Metazoa; Arthropoda; Insecta; Diptera; Culicidae
Exons: 3
Source: RefSeq, a predicted model, not a curated record
GUGGAGUGUCUUUUUACAAAGAUUGGAGAAACAUAAAAUGGAGAAAUUUGGAUCAAGAGCGUAUUUAUACCCAGCUAGUCAAAAACAACAAAACAAUAGUUCCAUCAAGCUGCUGCCAAUCUCAGGCUUUGUGCAAUAUUGUAGCUGUAAAGAUCGAAUACGAUGGAAGUUUUGUUGAUAUAUCUGAUUUUGAAACCGUCAAUGUGUUUCAAAAUGGAUGUUUAUCGUCAUUUAUUCAAAAUGCCACCGACAGAAUAGAAAUUGGUAUGGCAAUUACGUUUUCCAGCAUCACAAUUCAACUUGUUACAAUAAUUGUUCACCGCAUUAUGUUCUUGAAAAAUCGGGAAUACUUGUAAAAGCAGAAUAUACAACUAGUAGGCAGUUCAUGAGCAUGUGGAGAAUGGUGUUUAAUGAAUUCGUUUAAAACAAUUAUUUGUAUUUGUUGAACUUU